RNAcentral lists this ribosomal RNA (253 nucleotides) under uncultured bacterium. Its description in RNAcentral is "partial 16S ribosomal RNA". It matches the Rfam family "Bacterial small subunit ribosomal RNA", at positions 524 to 776 of the family's 1533-position model. The record is from RNAcentral.
UACGGAGGGGGCUAGCGUUGUUCGGAAUUACUGGGCGUAAAGCGCACGUAGGCGGCUUUGUAAGUUAGAGGUGAAAGCCCGGGGCUCAACUCCGGAAUUGCCUUUAAGACUGCAUCGCUAGAAUUGUGGAGAGGUGAGUGGAAUUCCGAGUGUAGAGGUGAAAUUCGUAGAUAUUCGGAAGAACACCAGUGGCGAAGGCAGGUCUCUGGGCCGAUACUGACGCUGAGGAGCGAAAGCGUGGGGAGCGAACAGG